GAUGAACGCUGACAGAAUGCUUAACACAUGCAAGUCAACUUGAAUUUGGGUUUUUAACUUAGGUUUGGGUGGCGGACGGGUGAGUAACGCGUAAAGAACUUGCCUCACAGCUAGGGACAACAUUUGGAAACGAAUGCUAAUACCUAAUAUUAUGAUAAUAGGGCAUCCUAUAAUUAUGAAAGCUAUAAGCGCUGUGAGAGAGCUUUGCGUCCCAUUAGCUAGUUGGAGAGGUAACGGCUCACCAAGGCGAUGAUGGGUAGCCGGCCUGAGAGGGUGAUCGGCCACAAAGGGACUGAGACACGGCCCUUACUCCUACGGGAGGCAGCAGUGGGGAAUAUUGGACAAUGGACCGAGAGUCUGAUCCAGCAAUUCUGUGUGCACGAUGAAGUUUUUCGGAAUGUAAAGUGCUUUCAGUUGGGAAGAAACAAAUGACGGUACCAACAGAAGAAGUGACGGCUAAAUACGUG
This 467-nucleotide ribosomal RNA is filed under the name uncultured bacterium. RNAcentral describes it as "partial 16S ribosomal RNA". It matches the Rfam family "Bacterial small subunit ribosomal RNA", at positions 28 to 507 of the family's 1533-position model. The record is from RNAcentral.